Molecule: long non-coding RNA, 609 nt
Organism: Rhincodon typus (whale shark)
Lineage: Eukaryota; Metazoa; Chordata; Chondrichthyes; Orectolobiformes; Rhincodontidae
Exons: 3
Source: RefSeq, a predicted model, not a curated record
AAAUCGAGAUGGUCCCCGGUGACCGGCGCCUGUUUCUGAGAAGAGGCCUGAGGAUCACUGCGGCUUAAAUCGAGGUGCCGGAAAACUCAUGUUUGGGGCUUAAGGCCUAAACUGGGCAAUUAUUGAUCCUUCUGGUAGGAAUAUUACGACAAACACUGGCCUCCGGUUCAUCCUUCACUCACCGUUUGUAUCUAUAAAAGUCGAGCAUUUCUUUCCGCCAUUACUCACGACAUGAUUCCUCGCAUCCCAAUUAGCUGUGCGCAUGCUUCCGCACCCUGCCCGUGAUUGAUGACGUACAGAGCCAAUAGCAAGCAAGGGGCGGGACCGGAGGCGGAGCUGCUGGUCCUCCAACCAAUCAGAGAAAACAAGGAGCCAACAAAAACAGAAGUUGCUCGAAAAGCUCAGCAGACUCCAGAGGAUACAGGUCUAAUCUGCAUUUCAUCAUAAGGCUACCACUCAUUCCAGAUUGAGGCUUCCUUCCCCUCUUCAAAUCCCUCAUUUACCAGUUGUUGAUCAUUUGGAUGAAUUUCAGUGUCGUCAGGAUAUUCCGAGAGACGUAUGCGCUUUUCACCAAAGUAAAGAUGGCUAAACAGUGUAGUUAUCAGAAAA